This 253-nucleotide ribosomal RNA is filed under the name uncultured bacterium. RNAcentral's name for it is "partial 16S ribosomal RNA". It matches the Rfam family "Bacterial small subunit ribosomal RNA", at positions 524 to 776 of the family's 1533-position model. The record is from RNAcentral.
UACAGAGGUGGCAAGCGUUGUUCGGAAUUACUGGGCGUAAAGGGCGCGUAGGCGGCCUUCUAAGUCGAACGUGAAAUCCCUGGGCUCAACCCAGGAACUGCGUCCGAUACUGGAAGGCUUGAAUCCGGGAGAGGGAUGCGGAAUUCCAGGUGUAGCGGUGAAAUGCGUAGAUAUCUGGAGGAACACCGGUGGCGAAGGCGGCAUCCUGGACCGGCAUUGACGCUGAGGCGCGAAAGCCAGGGGAGCAAACGGG